RNAcentral lists this ribosomal RNA (253 nucleotides) under uncultured bacterium. RNAcentral's name for it is "partial 16S ribosomal RNA". It matches the Rfam family "Bacterial small subunit ribosomal RNA", at positions 524 to 776 of the family's 1533-position model. The record is from RNAcentral.
UACGUAGGAGGCAAGCGUUGUCCGGAAUUACUGGGUGUAAAGCGCGUGUAGGCGGCAGGCCAAGUCUGUGGUGAAAUCGCUCGGCUCAACUGGGCGGGGUCCAUGGAAACUGGUCAGCUGGAGGACGGUAGAGGUGAGUGGGAUUCCCGGUGUAGUGGUGAAAUGCGUAGAGAUCGGGAGGAACACCCGUGGCGAAGGCGGCUCACUGGGCCGGUCCUGACGCUGAGACGCGAAGGCGUGGGGAGCGAACGGG